Molecule: ribosomal RNA, 988 nt
Filed under: Pediococcus pentosaceus
Lineage: Bacteria; Bacillati; Bacillota; Bacilli; Lactobacillales; Lactobacillaceae
Description: bacterial SSU rRNA
Rfam family: Bacterial small subunit ribosomal RNA
Source: RNAcentral
UCCCGUAUCACUCUAAAUGUAUAAUGCAGUCGAACGAACUUCCGUUAAUUGAUUAUGACGUACUUGUACUGAUUGAGAUUUUAACACGAAGUGAGUGGCGAACGGGUGAGUAACACGUGGGUAACCUGCCCAGAAGUAGGGGAUAACACCUGGAAACAGAUGCUAAUACCGUAUAACAGAGAAAACCGCAUGGUUUUCUUUUAAAAGAUGGCUCUGCUAUCACUUCUGGAUGGACCCGCGGCGUAUUAGCUAGUUGGUGAGGUAAAGGCUCACCAAGGCAGUGAUACGUAGCCGACCUGAGAGGGUAAUCGGCCACAUUGGGACUGAGACACGGCCCAGACUCCUACGGGAGGCAGCAGUAGGGAAUCUUCCACAAUGGACGCAAGUCUGAUGGAGCAACGCCGCGUGAGUGAAGAAGGGUUUCGGCUCGUAAAGCUCUGUUGUUAAAGAAGAACGUGGGUAAGAGUAACUGUUUACCCAGUGACGGUAUUUAACCAGAAAGCCACGGCUAACUACGUGCCAGCAGCCGCGGUAAUACGUAGGUGGCAAGCGUUAUCCGGAUUUAUUGGGCGUAAAGCGAGCGCAGGCGGUCUUUUAAGUCUAAUGUGAAAGCCUUCGGCUCAACCGAAGAAGUGCAUUGGAAACUGGGAGACUUGAGUGCAGAAGAGGACAGUGGAACUCCAUGUGUAGCGGUGAAAUGCGUAGAUAUAUGGAAGAACACCAGUGGCGAAGGCGGCUGUCUGGUCUGCAACUGACGCUGAGGCUCGAAAGCAUGGGUAGCGAACAGGAUUAGAUACCCUGGUAGUCCAUGCCGUAACGAUGAUUACUAAGUGUUGGAGGUUUCCGCCCUUCAGUGCUGCAGCUAACGCAUUAAGUAAUCCGCCUGGGGAGUACGACCGCAAGGUUGAAACUCAAAGAAUUGACGGGGGCCCCGCACAACGGUGGAGCAUGUGUAUUAAUUCGAAAGCUACGCGAAAACCCUUACCAA